UCCACGCCCUAAACGAUGAUUACUCGCUGUUGGCAAUAUAUCGUCAGCGGCUAAGCGAAAGCAUUAAGUAAUCCACCUGGGGAGUACGAUCGCAAGGUUGAAACUCAAAGGAAUUGACGGGGGCCCGCACAAGCGGAGGAACAUGUGGUUUAAUUCGAUGAUACGCGAGGAACCUUACCUGGGCUUAAAUGUAGGACGAUCGUUGCCGAAAGGUGGCUUUCCUUCGGGACGGA
Molecule: ribosomal RNA, 233 nt
Filed under: uncultured bacterium
Lineage: Bacteria
Description: partial 16S ribosomal RNA
Rfam family: Bacterial small subunit ribosomal RNA
Source: RNAcentral